Molecule: ribosomal RNA, 638 nt
Filed under: uncultured actinomycete
Lineage: Bacteria; Bacillati; Actinomycetota; Actinomycetes; Actinomycetales
Description: bacterial SSU rRNA
Rfam family: Bacterial small subunit ribosomal RNA
Source: RNAcentral
GCGGCCUAUCAGCUUGUUGGAGAGGUAACGGCUCACCAAGGCAUCGACGGGUAGCUGGUCUGAGAGGAUGAUCAGCCACACUGGAACUGAGACACGGUCCAGACUCCUACGGGAGGCAGCAGUGGGGAAUCUUGCACAAUGGGCGAAAGCCUGAUGCAGCAACGCCGCGUGCGGGAAGAAGGCCCUAGGGUUGUAAACCGCUUUCAGGAGGGAAGAAGAUGACGGUACCUCCAGAAGAAGGUGCGGCCAACUACGUGCCAGCAGCCGCGGUGACACGUAGGCACCAAGCGUUAUCCGGAUUUAUUGGGCGUAAAGAGCUCGUAGGCGGUUCGGUAAGUCGGGCGUGAAAAUCCAAGGCUCAACCUUGGGACGCCGCCCGAUACUGCUGUGACUAGAGUGCAGUAGGGGAGCAGGGAAUUCCUGGUGUAGCGGUGAAAUGCGCAGAUAUCAGGAGGAACACCAGUGGCGAAGGCGCUGCUCUGGGCUGUAACUGACGCUGAGGAGCGAAAGCGUGGGUAGCAAACAGGAUUAGAUACCCUGGUAGUCCACGCCGUAAACGUUGGGCACUAGGUGUGGGUCUCAACCAACGAGAUCCGCGCCGUCGCUAACGCAUUAAGUGCCCCGCCUGGGGAGUACGG